UACGGGAGGCAGCAGUGGGGAAUAUUGCACAAUGGGCGCAAGCCUGAUGCAGCCAUGCCGCGUGUAUGAAAAAGGCCUUCGGGUUGUAAAGUACUUUUCAGUCGUGAGGAAGGUGUUAAGGUUAAUAACCUUAGCAAUUGACGUUAGCGACAGAAGAAGCACCGGCUAACUCCGUGCCAGCAGCCGCGGUAAUACGGAGGGUGCGAGCGUUAAUCGGAAUUACUGGGCGUAAAGGGCACGCAGGCGGUUAAUUAAGUUGGAUGUGAAAUCCCCGGGCUUAACCUGGGAAUGGCAUUCAAGACUGGUUAGCUAGAGUCUUGUAGAGGGGGUAGAAUUCCAUGUGUAGCGGUGAAAUGCGUAGAGAUGUGGAGGAAUACCGGUGGCGAAGGCGGCCCCUGGACAAAGGACUGACGCUCAUGUGCGAAAGCGUGGGGAGCAAAC
Molecule: ribosomal RNA, 441 nt
Filed under: uncultured bacterium
Lineage: Bacteria
Description: bacterial SSU rRNA
Rfam family: Bacterial small subunit ribosomal RNA
Source: RNAcentral